Molecule: long non-coding RNA, 2074 nt
Organism: Cucumis melo (muskmelon)
Lineage: Eukaryota; Viridiplantae; Streptophyta; Magnoliopsida; Cucurbitales; Cucurbitaceae
Exons: 2
Source: RefSeq, a predicted model, not a curated record
AAUGAAAUAAUUUUGGACCCUCUUUUUCAUGACCCUCCCUCUCCUCUUCACGAUACCCACUCACAGCAUACUCUACGUUCAAAACACGUAAAACCCACAAAACCUUUUCACGGCUGCUAUUCACAGCUCUCUGUUCGUCUUCUCUCUACCGUCUGACGUUGUCUCUGUCCACCGUCACUCUUCUUUUUCACCGAUACCCAUACCAAAACGUAACGCACCUUAUUCAUCAUUCAAUCGAAAGCCAGACUGAAACGACGACUGCCGAAACGUAACCCACCCUGUUCGUCAUUCAACCCAAACCCACGCUGAAAUGACGACUGCCGAAACGUAACCCACCCUGUUCGUCGUUCAAUCGAAACCCACGUCGGAACGACGACUGUCGAAACAUAACUCGCCCUGUUCGUCGUUCAACCGAAACCCACGCCGAAACAACAACUGUCGAAACGUAAAACCCAUCCUGUUCGUCGUUUAAUCGAAACCCACGCAAAACUUUGUUCGUCGUUCUUGAGUUUUUUGAAUCAACGAUGUGGGUUUAAGGACUUCAAAUGAUCCAUUCCUUCAUGCCCAUAAUUGAAGAUAUGGAACUUAUUUACUGGUUCUAGUUAAUUUGUGAAGAAGGAGAACGGAGAGAGUGAAAAAAGUAAUUUUAUUACCCUUUUUAGUGUUUGAUGAGAGGUACGAGGUUUCAUCUUCUUUUGAUCUUCUAUGCUUGUCUGUUGGUGUUGGAAUUGAACUACUCCAUUUUGAUCCAUGGUUUUGAUUUUUUUUCUUUUUGUUCAAUCUUUAAUUGGAGGAAGAAGAUGAAGUGUGUGUUUGUGUUGUGUAUGUUUUGUUGGUGAGAAAAAGUAGAUAUUAUGGGAGAUGGGCAAAGAUGGUGGCUUGGUUUAUAUAGAGAGAACCUUGAACUUAUUUUUUUGUGGGUUUUAGUGAAUUUACUUUAAUACCCUUUUAAUUUUGGCAUAUAUCCAUAUUGUUCCUUCUUCAAAACCAUCUCCACCUUAGUUUUCUGUUAUUAAAAUCUCUAGAUGUUUUUUCUUUCAUGCUCUUUGUUUUCAUAUUUAUUUAAAUAUAAUAUGUCAAUUUUUAGUCCAAUUUUAAAAAUGAAAUCUAUUCUUUUAUGUAUUUUAGUUUGGGUGUUUUGAAAAUAUUAAUAUUGAAUGAAUAGAACCAAAACUUACGAGUAGAAUUAGUAUAACAUUAAUCUUUUAAAAUGAAAAAAUGACGUGAUUAUUAAAUAAGGUUGAAGUUUGUUUGUUUUUUGUGUUUUAAAACUAUGGUUGUUUUGAUCUCAUCAUUUAGAAAUGAUGUUCUUCAAAAAAAAUUUCUCUAGGUAUAUGAAAUUAUUAGUUUAUACAUGUGUGAAUAUAUAAUAAGUUCCCAGAAUCUUUUAUUUAUUUUUUUAACUAUCAUAAUAAGAUAUGGAAUAGGAUAGUGUUAGUAGAUGCUAGAAGUUCUUUUUGGAUGUUAUAAAGAGAUGCAUUUGUUAGAUUUGUUAUCUUAUAGAGUAAAAGCUUGAAGUUCAAAAAUAGUUUGUUGAUUAUUAUUAAAUCACUCAGACAAAUAAUGCAAUGAUUAGAACACCAUUCUUCACGCUUUUCACAUCAAGAAACACAUUUAGUUCUAUUCUCCUAUGGUGCUUGCAGACUUUAGUAGAGGUCAUCAUGAUCGUUUGCUUUGAUUCUCAUGGAUUCUGCCUAAUUUUCCUGUUUGACUCCAUAUUUUUUUCCCUUUUGUACCAUAAUACAUUCUAGUCAACGUGUACACACCUUAACUAAUCUCACAAACAUUUAAUCUUUUUCAUCUUUAAAUUGUCGUUUAUAUCUCUAUUAUAAUACCCAUGCUUUUCAUUAUAAUCAAUGACUCGUAAUCUCUAUUGCAUUUCCAUUUGUCAACCCAUUGAGUAAGAUUUAAGCAUCUUCAUUGUUUUAAAGCUAAAAGAAGUCAUGAUUAACACUAGUAUUAACUAUAUAGCUUAGAGUUUUUCCCCUCAUCUUUUCUAAUAUUGCAAACAUAAUGAAUCAUGAUAAUAAAUCUGAAUAUUCAGUGAGCAAUAUUUCUGUUGUUAUAUCCUUUA